RNAcentral lists this ribosomal RNA (497 nucleotides) under uncultured bacterium. RNAcentral's name for it is "partial 16S ribosomal RNA". It matches the Rfam family "Bacterial small subunit ribosomal RNA", at positions 28 to 507 of the family's 1533-position model. The record is from RNAcentral.
GAUGAACGCUGGCGGCGUGCCUAAUACAUGCAAGUCGAGCGAACGGACGGGAAGCUUGCUUUUCUGAUGUUAGCGGCGGACGGGUGAGUAACACGUGGAUAACCUACCUAUAAGACUGGGAUAACUUCGGGAAACCGGAGCUAGUACCGGAUAAUAUUUUGAACCGCAUGGUUCAAAAGUGAAAGACGGUCUUGCUGUCACUUAUAGAUGGAUCCGCGCUGCAUUAGCUAGUUGGUAAGGUAACGGCUUACCAAGGCAACGAUGCAUAGCCGACCUGAGAGGGUGAUCGGCCACACUGGAACUGAGACACGGUCCAGACUCCUACGGGAGGCAGCAGUAGGGAAUCUUCCGCAAUGGGCGAAAGCCUGACGGAGCAACGCCGCGUGAGUGAUGAAGGUCUUCGGAUCGUAAAACUCUGUUAUUAGGGAAGAACAUAUGUGUAAGUAACUGUGCACAUCUUGACGGUACCUAAUCAGAAAGCCACGGCUAACUACGUG